This 497-nucleotide ribosomal RNA is filed under the name uncultured bacterium. RNAcentral describes it as "partial 16S ribosomal RNA". It matches the Rfam family "Bacterial small subunit ribosomal RNA", at positions 28 to 507 of the family's 1533-position model. The record is from RNAcentral.
GAUGAACGCUGGCGGCGUGCCUAAUACAUGCCAGUCGAGCGAACAGAUGAGGAGCUUGCUCCUCUGACGUUAGCGGCGGACGGGUGAGUAACACGUGGAUAACCUACCUAUAAGACUGGGAUAACUUCGGGAAACCGGAGCUAAUACCGGAUAAUAUAUUGAACCGCAUGGUUCAAUAGUGAAAGACGGUUUUGCUGUCACUUAUAGAUGGAUCCGCGCCGCAUUAGCUAGUUGGUAAGGUAACGGCUUACCAAGGCAACGAUGCGUAGCCGACCUGAGAGGGUGAUCGGCCACACUGGAACUGAGACACGGUCCAGACUCCUACGGGAGGCAGCAGUAGGGAAUCUUCCGCAAUGGGCGAAAGCUUGACGGAGCAACGCCGCGUGAGUGAUGAGGGUCUUCGGAUCGUAAAACUCUGUUAUUAGGGAAGAACAAAUGUGUAAGUAACUAUGCACGUCUUGACGGUACCUAAUCAGAAAGCCACGGCUAACUACGUG